Molecule: ribosomal RNA, 541 nt
Filed under: uncultured archaeon
Lineage: Archaea
Description: bacterial SSU rRNA
Rfam family: Archaeal small subunit ribosomal RNA
Source: RNAcentral
GCCAGCAGCCGCGGUAACACCGGCGGCCCGAGUGGUGAUCGUGAUUAUUGGGUCUAAAGGGUCCGUAGCCGGUUGGUCAGUCCUCCGGGAAAUCUGAUAGCUCAACUAUUAGGCUUUCGGGGGAUACUGCCAGACUUGGAACCGGGAGAGGUAAGAGGUACUACAGGGGUAGGAGUGAAAUCUUGUAAUCCCUGUGGGACCACCUGUGGCGAAGGCGUCUUACCAGAACGGGUUCGACGGUGAGGGACGAAAGCUGGGGGCACGAACCGGAUUAGAUACCCGGGUAGUCCCAGCCGUAAACGAUGCUCGCUAGGUGUCAGGCAUGGCGCGACCGUGUCUGGUGCCGCAGGGAAGCCGUGAAGCGAGCCACCUGGGAAGUACGGCCGCAAGGCUGAAACUUAAAGGAAUUGGCGGGGGAGCACAACAACGGGUGGAGCCUGCGGUUUAAUUGGACUCAACGCCGGACAACUCACCGGGGGCGACAGCAAUAUGUAGGCCAAGCCUGAAGACUUUGCCUGAAUCGCUGAGGGGAGGUGCAUGG